CCCUCUUAGGGUUCGUAAGCAUGAUGACCGAGGUUUUGUGCUAUUGUGUGAGAUUGCUCCUCCUUCAAAUCUUCUUAUGACAUUAGCACAUUACCUGGUCU
Molecule: small nucleolar RNA, 101 nt
Filed under: Marmota monax (woodchuck)
Lineage: Eukaryota; Metazoa; Chordata; Mammalia; Rodentia; Sciuridae
Rfam family: Small nucleolar RNA U13
Source: RNAcentral